RNAcentral lists this ribosomal RNA (459 nucleotides) under uncultured bacterium. RNAcentral's name for it is "partial 16S ribosomal RNA". It matches the Rfam family "Bacterial small subunit ribosomal RNA", at positions 338 to 795 of the family's 1533-position model. The record is from RNAcentral.
CCUACGGGUGGCAGCAGUGAGGAAUAUUGGUCAAUGGCCGGGAGCCUGAACCAGCCAAGUCGCGUGAGGGAAGAAGGCCCUACGGGUUGUAAACCUCUUUUGUCCGGGAGUAAGAUGCACGUCGGGAGCUGCUCUGAGAGUACCGGACGAAAAAGCAUCGGCUAACUCCGUGCCAGCAGCCGCGGUAAUACGGAAGAUGCGAGCGUUAUCCGGAUUUAUUGGGUUUAAAGGGUGCGCAGGCGGGGGAACAAGUCAGCGGUAAAAUCGCGGGGCUCAACCCCGCUCCGCCGUUGAAACUGUGUCCCUUGAGUGCGCGACGGGUAGGCGGAAUGCGUGGUGUAGCGGUGAAAUGCAUAGAUAUCACGAGGAACCCCGAUCGCGAAGGCAGCCUACCGGCGCGCAACUGACGCUCAUGCACGAAGGCGUGGGUAUCGAACAGGAUUAGAUACCCCAGUAGUC